UGCAUCCAGCGCUGGUGCCAGCAGCCUCCUACAACUAACCCCUGCUCUGCAUCCAGCGCUGGUCCCAGCCUCCUACCACUAACUCCUGCCCAGAAUCCAGGAGACUGUGUUGGUGUAACCUAAAGUAAACAACCUCUACCCAUCCACCAUUACAGAUGUCGAAACCCAGCAACCCUGGCAGGUUGGGCAAGGUCACCCAGGACCAUCAGGAGGUGCAUGCAUCCCAAUGCGACAACACUCACCUCUGCACAUGCUCACUUCAACAAGAGCAACAGAAAGCAGAGUGUAUAGGGAGGGAGAGAGGGCAGCCGACGCCCCUUUAGAGCGCCCCCUGGAAGACAAACCCUCGAUGCCAGCAGCCAGACAGUCAGAGAGAAGCACAGAUUAUAAGGACAAAACCAACAACACCUAAAGCGAGGCCUCCGAUAGCGAGUGGAUAGACCCUUCAUUGGGACAGACCCAAGAAUAGACACCAAUAAUUGUAUUGAAUAACUAAUGAUACAUUAUUGAAUAAUAAUUUGAUUAAAUAAAUAAAUAAAAAAAAUAUAUUAAUAUGUUGAUGCUACAGAGAGCUGUUGAUUUAGGUCCCCUCAGCUACUUUUUUCCACAGCUCCACCCUCACCUCCACCACCUAACCAUCACCCUCAUUUAUUUGUGUUAAUUGGAAUACAUUUGAAAAGUAAAGAUUUAUUAUUAUCAACUUUAAAUAGUCAUUGAUUUCCAUUCAGUAUUCCUCUUUUGUUUUGGCCCGAAAUUUACAAUUUAUGUAGGUAAGGGCCUAUUAGUAAUACAAAAUAUUUUUGUACCAUGAUAGGGAUCCAUUAGUCAUUGAACGUUCCCUGAAUCUAAUAGCGUGCUACUCCAACAACGCUUCUUGUGUGAGAACGUAACAAUGACACCUUGUGCUCGCCUUGAUAUCAUAAAGGUUAUAGCAGGUAGGUAGGUUAUAUAACUCAUAAAUUAUUAAUUCACAUUUUGGGGACAAUAAACAUGUGUGAUUUAUAUGUUUUUAAAGUAAUUUCAUAUUUAAUAACAAUAAUCUGCGCUAUGACCAAAGUGAACCAAAAAAAUGGUGCCUAUUAUCGUUCAAACUUGUUGGCAGCGAUUUGAGAAAUGUUGUUUUCUUUUUAAACUUGUUAUUUUAAAUAUCUUUGUCAACAAAUAAAAUAUACAUACAAGCCAUAAAUUAUCAA
Molecule: long non-coding RNA, 1193 nt
Organism: Hypomesus transpacificus
Lineage: Eukaryota; Metazoa; Chordata; Actinopteri; Osmeriformes; Osmeridae
Exons: 3
Source: RefSeq, a predicted model, not a curated record